UGGGGAAUUUUGGACAAUGGGCGAAAGCCUGAUCCAGCAAUGCCGCGUGUGUGAAGAAGGCCUUCGGGUUGUAAAGCACUUUUGUCCGGAAAGAAAUCCUUGGCUCUAAUACAGUCGGGGGAUGACGGUACCGGAAGAAUAAGCACCGGCUAACUACGUGCCAGCAGCCGCGGUAAUACGUAGGGUGCAAGCGUUAAUCGGAAUUACUGGGCGUAAAGCGUGCGCAGGCGGUUUGCUAGACCGAUGUGAAAUCCCCGGGCUCAACCUGGGAACUGCAUUGGUGACUGGCAGGCUAGAGUAUGGCAGAGGGGGGUAGAAUUCCACGUGUAGCAGUGAAAUGCGUAGAGAUGUGGAGGAAUACCGAUGGCGAAGGCAGCCCCCUGGGCCAAUACUGACGCUCAUGCACGAAAAGCGUGGGGAGCAAAACAGGAUUAGAUACCCUGGUAGUCCACGCCCUAAACGAUGUCAACUAGUUGUUGGGGAUUCAUUUCCUUAGUAACGUAGCUAACGCGUGAAGUUGACCGCCUGGGGAGUACGGUCGCAAGAUU
RNAcentral lists this ribosomal RNA (548 nucleotides) under uncultured bacterium. Its description in RNAcentral is "partial 16S ribosomal RNA". It matches the Rfam family "Bacterial small subunit ribosomal RNA", at positions 355 to 895 of the family's 1533-position model. The record is from RNAcentral.